Molecule: ribosomal RNA, 629 nt
Filed under: Symmetrospora oryzicola
Lineage: Eukaryota; Fungi; Basidiomycota; Cystobasidiomycetes; Symmetrosporaceae
Also listed under: 1 other name
Description: eukaryotic LSU rRNA
Rfam family: Eukaryotic large subunit ribosomal RNA
Source: RNAcentral
UAAGCGGAGGAAAAGAAACUAACAAGGAUUCCCCUAGUAACGGCGAGUGAAGUGGGAAAAGCUCAACUUUAAAAUCUGGCAGCUUCGCUGUCCGAGUUGUAGUCUCGAGAAGUGUUUUCCGCGCUGGAUCGUGUAUGAGUCUGUUGGAAUACAGCGUCAUAGAGGGUGAGAACCCCGUUCAUGACACGACUACCAGUGCUUUGUGAUACACUUUCGAUGAGUCGAGUUGUUUGGGAAUGCAGCUCAAAAUGGGUGGUAAAUUCCAUCUAAAGCUAAAUAUUGGCGAGAGACCGAUAGCAAACAAGUACCGUGAGGGAAAGAUGAAAAGCACUUUGGAAAGAGAGUUAACAGUACGUGAAAUUGUCGAAAGGGAAACGCUUGAAGUCAGACGUGCGCGGUGCGAUUCAGCCUUGGUUCGCCAGGGUGUACUUCGUACCAUUGCAGGCCAGCAUCGGUUUUGUGAGCCGGAUAAAGGUUAGAGGAAGGUAGCGGUCCAGGCCGUGUUAUAGCCUCUAACUGAAUACGGAUUGUGAGACCGAGGGACGCAGCGCGCCGCAAGGCAAAGGGUCCGCCCUUUUCGCGCUUAGGAUGCUGGUGAAAUGGCUUUAAACGACCCGUCUUGAAACACG